CCUACGGGUGGCAGCAGUGGGGAAUAUUGCACAAUGGGGGAAACCCUGAUGCAGCGACGCCGCGUGAGUGAAGAAGUAAUUCUGUAUGUAAAGCUCUAUCAGCAGGGAAGAAAAUGACGGUACCUGAGUAAGAAGCCCCGGCUAACUCCGUGCCAGCAGCCGCGGUAAUACGGAGGGUGCGAGCGUUAACCGGAGUUACUGGGCGUAAAGUGAUCGUAGGCGGUAUGUCAAGUCUAGGGUGAAAUCCCCGCGCUCAACGUGGGAACUGCCUUUGAAACUGGCAAACUAGAGUGUGUGAGAGGUAAGUGGAAUUCCAGGUGUAGCGGUGAAAUCCGUAGAUAUCUGGAGGAACAUCAGUGGCGAAGGCGACUAACUGGAACGUAACUGACGCUGAGGAGCGAAAGCGUGGGUAGCAAACAGGAUUAGAUACCCUUGUAGUC
RNAcentral lists this ribosomal RNA (440 nucleotides) under uncultured bacterium. RNAcentral's name for it is "partial 16S ribosomal RNA". It matches the Rfam family "Bacterial small subunit ribosomal RNA", at positions 338 to 795 of the family's 1533-position model. The record is from RNAcentral.